GUUGGCUAUGGGGACAUUUAUCCAAAGACGUUACUAGGUAAAAUUGUAGGGGGUCUUUGUUGCAUUGCUGGCGUGCUAGUAAUAGCACUACCUAUACCAAUCAUAGUAAAUAAU
This is a non-coding RNA of Pelobates cultripes (western spadefoot toad), 114 nucleotides long. The record is from the annotation of a GenBank genome assembly. NCBI's taxonomy places the organism in Eukaryota, Metazoa, Chordata, Amphibia, Anura, Pelobatidae.